Long non-coding RNA from Rattus norvegicus (Norway rat), 1153 nucleotides. RefSeq lists it as uncharacterized. The record is from RefSeq and is a predicted model, not a curated record. Lineage: Eukaryota; Metazoa; Chordata; Mammalia; Rodentia; Muridae.
AGGAAUGCAGCUGAAGAAGAUGCCAGCCGUUUCCGGUGGCUGGCCUUUGAAAGGUGCCUGCCAACUCUUGGGGCAGUUUCCAUAGAAACGAGGAUGGCAUAGCAACAGGCAGAGAUUCCACAUGACACAAGCCGGAGGACAGAAGCAGCCAGGGUCUCCUGGAGAAGCACCCGCUUGGUCUUGGAAACAGCCACUUGGACGUCACUCAGAAACGCCAUCCAAGCCUCAUCAGGCUGUGAAGCUACUGAGACAGAUCCAUCCGUUACAACAGCUAUCAGUCCUCAAUCAAGAGUGAGGCAAGAGGCCCUGGCUCCUUCCGUAAGGGACAGCAACAGACAACAAUGGCCCUAAUGAGUCACUCCACACCAAAAGCUGUCAAAUCCAUCAUCCCCGCUUUAGUUUUUGAAAGUGAUUAAACAUUUUCUUCCCUUUGGUAGUGAGAUGCCCGCGACAGCCAAUCUAUCACGGCGUCUGAUCUAUCUCUGCAUGUUCCGAAGUUUAACUGCAGAGUUUCACAUCCAUCAUUUCCUACCUGAACCGCUUUUCGAAAAGGAAGGGGAAUUUUAGUUCUGCUUCUCGACAGCAGAGGAAUUAAAGAACGGGAGUUUUUUUCUCCCAUAAAACACCAGUGGCGGAUACGCAAACCUAAACCAGAAGAAUGCACGCCCAAACGAAGACGGCAAGCAUGGCCUUCUGAGAAGUGCGGUGCCCACGGAUGCCAAAAGAAGACACUGGAUCUCCUAGUCCUGGAGUUACAGAUGGUUGGGAGUUUCCGUGUGAGUGUUGGGGAUGGAACCCAGGUCUUCCUCAAGAGCAGCCAGCGCUCUUAACCACUGAGCCACCUCUCCAGUCCUGUUGCCAUUUUUAAUCUCAGUAAUAUGUUGACCAUCUUAGCCACUGUGGUACAUGUGUGUCACUGGCUUUAAGUACCUCCAGGGAUGUGCGACUUCAUGGAUGGGCCUUUGCCCUCUAUUUCUAGAACUUUCUCAUCACCCCAAAAAGAAAACUCUGUUCCCAUUUUCAGUCACUCCUCAUCACUCCCCCCACCCCACCUCAACACCAGCCUGGGCAGGCACAACCACAAAACUGCUUUCUGUCCCGGUGGAUCUGCUUAUUCCAGACACUUCCAGGAUCUCUUUAAACAGAAAAUGAA